This 386-nucleotide ribosomal RNA is filed under the name Ramazzottius sp. F3683. RNAcentral's name for it is "bacterial SSU rRNA". It matches the Rfam family "Eukaryotic small subunit ribosomal RNA", at positions 38 to 421 of the family's 1831-position model. Lineage: Eukaryota; Metazoa; Tardigrada; Eutardigrada; Parachela; Ramazzottiidae. The record is from RNAcentral.
UAUAAAGUAUAAUCCAUGCAUGUCUCAGUACUUGCUUUUACAAGGCGAAACCGCGAAUGGCUCAUUAAAUCAGUUAUGGUUCACUAGAUCGUACAGUUUACAUGGAUAACUGUGGUAAUUCUAGAGCUAAUACAUGCAUUCAGCUGGCUCUUUCGGGAGCCAGCGCAGUUAUUAGAAUAAAGCCAAUCCGGCCUUCGGGUCGGUAAAAUUGGUGACUCUGAAUAACCGAAGCGGAGCGCAUGGUCUCGUACCGGCGCCAGAUCUUUCAAGUGUCUGACUUAUCAGCUCGUAGGUAGGUUAUGUGCCUACCUAGGCUCUUACGGGUAACGGGGUGUCAGGGCCCGACACCGGAGAGGGAGCCUGAGAAACGGCUACCACAUCCAAGA